UACAGAGGGUGCGAGCGUUGUCCGGAAUCACUGGGCGUAAAGGGCGCGUAGGCGGUCCGGUAAGCGCGUGGUGAAAGCUCGGGGCUCAACCCCCGAGUCGGCCGUGCGAACUGCGGGACUGGAGCAGAUCAGAGGCAGGCGGAAUUCCGGGUGUAGCGGUGGAAUGCGCAGAUAUCAGGAGGAACACCAAUAGCGAAGGCAGCUCGCUGGGACGUUACUGACACUGAGGCGCGAAAGCGUGGGGAGCGAACAGG
Molecule: ribosomal RNA, 254 nt
Filed under: uncultured bacterium
Lineage: Bacteria
Description: partial 16S ribosomal RNA
Rfam family: Bacterial small subunit ribosomal RNA
Source: RNAcentral